This 299-nucleotide signal recognition particle RNA is filed under the name Cebus imitator (Panamanian white-faced capuchin). RNAcentral describes it as "Metazoan signal recognition particle RNA (ENSCCAG00000013601.1)". It matches the Rfam family "Metazoan signal recognition particle RNA". Rfam says of the family: The signal recognition particle (SRP) is a universally conserved ribonucleoprotein. It is involved in the co-translational targeting of proteins to membranes. The record is from RNAcentral. Lineage: Eukaryota; Metazoa; Chordata; Mammalia; Primates; Cebidae.
GCCGGGCGCGGUGGCCUGUGCCUAUAAUCCCAGCUACUCAGGAGGCUGAGGUGCGAGAUUCACUUGAGCCCAGGAGUUCUGGGCUGUAGGGCGCUAUACCGAUCAGGUGUCCGCACUAAGUUCGGCAUCAAUAUGGUGACCUCCCGGGAGCGGGGGACCACCAGGUUGCCUAAGGAGGGGUGAACCGGCCCAGGAGGGAAACGGAGCAGGUCAAAACUCCCGUGCUGAUCAGUAGUGGGAUCGCACCUGUGAAUAGCCACUGCACUCCAGCCUGGGCAACAUAGUGAGACCCCGUCUCU